This 181-nucleotide ribosomal RNA is filed under the name uncultured bacterium. Its description in RNAcentral is "partial 16S ribosomal RNA". It matches the Rfam family "Bacterial small subunit ribosomal RNA", at positions 1319 to 1500 of the family's 1533-position model. The record is from RNAcentral.
CAUGAAGCCGGAAUUGCUAGUAAUGGCAGGUCAGCAUACUGCCGUGAAUACGUUCCCGGGCCUUGUACACACCGCCCGUCACACCAUGAGAGUUGGGAAUACCCGAAGCCUGUGAGCUAACGUUAAGAGGCAGCAGUCGAAGGUAGAAUCAAUGAUUGGGGUGAAGUCGUAACAAGGUAAC